This 460-nucleotide ribosomal RNA is filed under the name uncultured bacterium. Its description in RNAcentral is "partial 16S ribosomal RNA". It matches the Rfam family "Bacterial small subunit ribosomal RNA", at positions 338 to 795 of the family's 1533-position model. The record is from RNAcentral.
CCUACGGGAGGCAGCAGUGAGGAAUAUUGGUCAAUGGCCGUAAGGCUGAACCAGCCAAGUCGCGUGAAGGAAGAAGGAUCUAUGGUUUGUAAACUUCUUUUAUAAAGGAAUAAAGUUAUCCACGUGUGGAUAUUUGCAUGUACCCUAUGAAUAAGCAUCGGCUAACUCCGUGCCAGCAGCCGCGGUAAUACGGAGGAUGCGAGCGUUAUCCGGAUUUAUUGGGUUUAAAGGGAGCGUAGAUUGUUUUUUAAGUCAGCGGUGAAAGUUUGUGGCUCAACCAUAAAAUUGCAGUUGAUACUGGAAGACUUGAGUGUAGUUGAGGUAGGCGGAAUUCGUGGUGUAGCGGUGAAAUGCAUAGAUAUCACGCAGAACUCCGAUUGCGAAGGCAGCCUACUAAGCUACAACUGACACUGAAGCACGAAAGCGUGGGGAUCAAACAGGAUUAGAUACCCGUGUAGUC